This 739-nucleotide ribosomal RNA is filed under the name uncultured bacterium. RNAcentral's name for it is "bacterial SSU rRNA". It matches the Rfam family "Bacterial small subunit ribosomal RNA", at positions 654 to 1398 of the family's 1533-position model. The record is from RNAcentral.
GAAGUAGGCGGAAUGUAGCAUGUAACGGUGAAAUGCAUAGAUAUGCUACAGUACACCAAUUGCGAAGGCAGCUUACUAACCUAAAACUGACGCUCAGGCACGAAAGCGUGGGGAUCAAACAGGAUUAGAUACCCUGGUAGUCCACGCUGUAAACGAUGAUCACUCGUUGUUGGCGAUAUACUGUCAGCGACUGAACGAAAGCAUUAAGUGAUCCACCUGGGAAGUACGAUCGCAAGGUUGAAACUCAAAGGAAUUGACGGGGGCCCGCACAAGCGGUGGAGCAUGUGGUUUAAUUCGAUGAUACGCGAGGAACCUUACCUGGGCUUAAAUGUUUGAUGACAGUCCCCGAAAGGGGAUCUUCCUUCGGGACAUCUUACAAGGUGCUGCAUGGUUGUCGUCAGCUCGUGCCGUGAGGUGUCGGGUUAAGUCCCAUAACGAGCGCAACCCCUAUUCUUAGUUGCCAUCAGGUAAUGCUGGGGACUCUAAGAAAACUGCCUACGCAAGUAGUGAGGAAGGUGGGGAUGACGUCAAAUCAGCACGGCCCUUAUGUCCAGGGCUACACACGUGCUACAAUGGCCAGUACAGAGGGUCGCUACCUGGUGACAGGAUGCUAAUCUCGAAGCUGGUUCAGUUCGGAUUUGGAGUCUGCACUCGACUCCAUGAAGCUGGAAUCGCUAGUAAUCGCACAUCAGCCAUGGCGCGGUGAAUACGUUCCCGGGCCUUGUACACACCGCCCGUC